ACCCCUAUUGCGAGUGUCGAACAAGAAUAGAUAAUCGACUACUGAGCGAUUAUCGAUUAUCGAACUAUUGCGAGUGUCGAAUGAACGCUCAGCAAGCGACUGUGAAUGCUUUUUAAUCGAUCAUCUUUCUACAGCCAUUUUCUAGUCGUUGGAGAGUAAAGUUGAUGAAAAAAGAACGAAAAUGGAUAAAAAAUCAAAAGUAGUUAGUAACAAAAAGCAACUAGCGCGAUUAGUGGAGUUGAU
This is a long non-coding RNA of Rhagoletis pomonella (apple maggot), 243 nucleotides long. RefSeq lists it as uncharacterized. The transcript is spliced from 2 exons. Lineage: Eukaryota; Metazoa; Arthropoda; Insecta; Diptera; Tephritidae. The record is from RefSeq and is a predicted model, not a curated record.